UUUCCGUAGGUGAACCUGCGGAAGGAUCAUUAUUGGAUAACCGAGGUGCGAGGGCUGUCGCUGACCCGAAAGGUCGUGCACGCCCGAGUGCCCUCACACACAUCGAUCUCACCCCUAUGUGCACCACCGCGUGGGUCCCCCUUUGGCUUGUUCGGAGGGGGGCUUACGUUUUCACACAAACUUUGUAUGCAGUGUAGAAUGUAUUUUUUGUUUUUGCGAUCACGCAAUCAAUACAACUUUCAACAACGGAUCUCUUGGCUCUC
Molecule: unclassified non-coding RNA, 263 nt
Filed under: plant metagenome
Description: partial contains small subunit ribosomal RNA, internal transcribed spacer 1, and 5.8S ribosomal RNA
Source: RNAcentral